Molecule: ribosomal RNA, 301 nt
Filed under: uncultured bacterium
Lineage: Bacteria
Description: partial 16S ribosomal RNA
Rfam family: Bacterial small subunit ribosomal RNA
Source: RNAcentral
CAGCAGCCACGGUAAUACGAAGGGGGCUAGCGUUGUUCGGAAUUACUGGGCGUAAAGGGCGCGUAGGCGGCCAUUCAAGUUAGAUGUGAAAGCCCUGGGCUCAACCUAGGAAUUGCAUUUGAUACUGUUUGGCUUGAGCUCGGGAGAGGUGAGUGGAAUUCCCAGUGUAGAGGUGAAAUUCGUAGAUAUUGGGAAGAACACCAGUGGCGAAGGCGGCUCACUGGACCGACACUGACGCUGAGGCGCGAAAGCGUGGGGAGCAAACAGGAUUAGAUACCCGUGUAGUCCCUGUCUCUUAUAC